AUGGUGGCGGCGCUGCCGCCGGCCGAGGGCCGGGGGCUGGAGGGGAGCGUUCGCGCAUGGGAGUUGGGUGGCCUCUUCUCCGUGGAGUGGAGCACCUUCAGGCGGAGGGGGAGGGAGAUUCUCCUUCGCUCCUCAGAUCGCCAACGGUGUUUGCGGCUGAUGCAAGAAAGAGCAGAGAAAAUUUUCAAGGCCCGUCCAAAUCAAGUGGAGAUCAAGAAAGUAUUGGAGGGGAUUCAUCCCGCGGAAUCAGUGGAUGGGAGUAUUGGCUUUCAAUCCUCCAGUACAGCUGCUAAUCCGGGGAACCAAUUUGUGAAUCGGCCGGCAGUUUCUAAGGAACUUAAGGCAGAUUUGAAGAACAAAGGAAAGGUGGUGGUCUUGCGUGUUCUGGGAUGA
RNAcentral lists this ribosomal RNA (393 nucleotides) under Triticum aestivum (bread wheat). Its description in RNAcentral is "partial small subunit ribosomal RNA". Lineage: Eukaryota; Viridiplantae; Streptophyta; Magnoliopsida; Poales; Poaceae. The record is from RNAcentral.